Non-coding RNA from Paenibacillus stellifer, 172 nucleotides. The record is from Rfam. Lineage: Bacteria; Bacillati; Bacillota; Bacilli; Caryophanales; Paenibacillaceae.
UCCGCCGCGAGGCGGAAUCUGAAGGAAGCCGGAGGCAAACCCUCGGUCUGACGAACAGAAAUCACAUAUAAGGCAUGAUGGGACGGACGAGCUUGCCACACAAAGCAAAGUCCAAUACUGCCCGAAUCCCAUGAUGUAAAUGUGGCAGAUAGAUGAGGGUAAAGUUAUCGCU